CGAUUUUGCUGCUUGGAGUCCCUGUUCAAGAGAGCUGUAACACUAAGAAGAGCUGUAACACUGAGAAGAGCUGUAACACUAAGAAGAGCUGUAACACAGUAAAGGCUUGCUCGCAGAAGAAUCCUGUUGCCGCGCGUUGUUCUUGCUGGCGGGACAUUGGGCGCGCGACACUCCGCCACCAACCCCAUGAUUUGUUACUCUUAUGAUGGAAAGUUCUCAGCUCCUGCUCCAGGGGUAUGCUGUCUGCUUCCAGCCAUGAGGAUCAUAGAUUAAGCCCCUCCAAAAAACUAUUGCCAAGAGCCCAUUAAAUGCUUUAUUAAAAA
Molecule: non-coding RNA, 323 nt
Organism: Rattus norvegicus (Norway rat)
Lineage: Eukaryota; Metazoa; Chordata; Mammalia; Rodentia; Muridae
Source: RefSeq, a predicted model, not a curated record